GACGAACGCUGGCGGCGUGCUUAACACAUGCAAGUCGAACGGAAAGGCCCUGCUUGCCGGGUACUCGAGUGGCGAACGGGUGAGUAACACGUGGGUGAUCUGCCCUGCACUUCGGGAUAAGCCUGGGAAACUGGGUCUAAUACCGGAUAGGAGCCAUUUUUAGUGUGAUGGUUGGAAAGUUUUUUCGGUGUAGGAUGAGCUCGCGGCCUAUCAGCUUGUUGGUGGGGUAAUGGCCUACCAAGGCGGCGACGGGUAGCCGGCCUGAGAGGGUGGACGGCCACAUUGGGACUGAGAGACGGCCCAGACUCCUACGGGAGGCAGCAGUGGGGAAGAUUGCACAAUGGGCGCAAGCCUGAUGCAGCGACGCCGCGGGGGGGAUGACGGCCUUCGGGUUGUAAACGCCUUUCGCUAGGGACGAAGCUUUUUGUGACGGUACCUAGAUAAGAAGCACCGGCUAACUACGUG
RNAcentral lists this ribosomal RNA (465 nucleotides) under uncultured bacterium. Its description in RNAcentral is "partial 16S ribosomal RNA". It matches the Rfam family "Bacterial small subunit ribosomal RNA", at positions 28 to 507 of the family's 1533-position model. The record is from RNAcentral.